UACGGAGGGUGCAAGCGUUAUCCGGAUUUACUGGGUUUAAAGGGUGUGUAGGCGGGCUUUUAAGUCUGGGGUGAAAUCUCCGAGCUCAACUCGGAAACUGCCUUGGAUACUAUUAGUCUUGAAUUAUGUUGAGGUUGGCGGAAUAUAACAUGUAGCGGUGAAAUGCAUAGAUAUGUUAUAGAACACCGAUUGCGAAGGCAGCUAACUAAGCAUAUAUUGACGCUGAGGCACGAAAGCGUGGGGAUCAAACAGGAUUAGAUACCCGAGUAGU
RNAcentral lists this ribosomal RNA (271 nucleotides) under uncultured bacterium. Its description in RNAcentral is "partial 16S ribosomal RNA". It matches the Rfam family "Bacterial small subunit ribosomal RNA", at positions 524 to 794 of the family's 1533-position model. The record is from RNAcentral.